GGGAGAGGGAGAGAGAGUGAGAGAGGGAGACUAUUUCCUGUCCUAUUUGUAUUUCAUUAUCCAUUUUAUUCAAGUCAGUCCUCUCUUCUGGCUCUCUUUUUGUUUGAAUUUUUAAAUUUAAUUUUUAUUCUAAUUUGUUAUAUAUGACAGCAGAAUGCAUUACAAUUUGUAUUAUACAUGUAGAGCACAAUUUUUCAUAUCUCUGGUUUUAUACAAAGUAUAUUCACACCAUUUGUGUCUUCAUACAGGUACUUAGGGUAAUGAUGUCCAUUUCAUUCCACCAUCUUUUCUAUCCCCAUGCCCCCUUCCUUCCUGUCCCACCCCUUUGCCCUAGCUAGAGUUUGUCUAAUCCUCCCAUAUUCCCCCUCCCAAACCCACUAUGAAUCACCUUCCUUAUAUCAGAGAAAACAUUCAGCAAUUGGUUUUUUGGAAUUGGCUAACUUCAAUUGACAUUAUAUUCUUUAACUCCAUCCAUUUAUCUGCAAGUCCCAUGAUUUUAUUCUCUUUUAUUGAUGAGUAAUAUUCCAUUGUGUAUAUAUAACACAUUUUUUAAUCCAUUUAUCUACUUCAGGGCAUCUAGGUUGGUUCCACAAUUUAGCUAUUGUGAAUUGUGUUGCUGUAAACAUUGAUGUGGCUGUGUCCCUGUAGUAUGCCCUGACUUCCUUAAUAAGACUCCUAUAGUGCAAGAAUUAAAAUCAAGAAUCAAUAAAUGGGAUGGAUUCAAACUAAAAAAGCUUCUUCUCAGCAAAAGAAACAAUCAGUGAGGUAAAGAUAGAGCCUACAGAAUGGAAGCAAAUUUUUACCACAAGUACAUCAGAUAGAGCACUAAUCUCUAGGGUACAUAAAGAACUCAAAAAUCGAAACACCAAAAGAACAAAUAACCUAGGAUGUGGGGGAAAAGGCACACUCAUACACUGCUGGUGGAACUGCAAACUGGUGCAGCCAAUAUAGAAAGCAGUAUGGAGAUUCCUUGGAAAACUGGGAAUGGAAUUACCAUUUGACUCAGCUACCCACUCCUCGGUCUAUAUCUUCUGCUCUCUUUAACAUAUAUACCUAAGAAGAAAUAUGUAUUAUCAAUUCUUCAGUUUUUAUUUAUCUUUUGGGAACUCUAAAACAGGACAAAAUCUCAGACUUCCAGACAUACACUACUUCACACCCUAAGCAGACAUCUUGAUUAUAUAAUCACCCAAUAAUAUGAAUAGGCAUAAACAAAUACUAUGAAUAGGCAUACUUCCACUUCUCUAAAUGAUUUUUAUUCACAUGAAUACUGAUUUCACUGGUCAUGUUAUUCUUUCUUAUUUUUCUAACAGCCCAGUGGGCAUACUUCUCUUUGUUCGGUGCCCUAUCUCAGCAAAAAGAGAAUCCAGGUUUCUCUAUAAUUUUUAUCUAGCUAUAUUAAAAAAAAAAUAAAAAGAAAAGCUAGGCAAAUAAACCACAUUUAGUUUAAAUAUAAAAUUGACAUCCCAAAGUUAGGAACUAGGAAAAAUGCUGUCUUGAGAGUUGAAUAUAUGAAAAAUAAAGUUUGGGUCUGAACCACCUAUAUAAACUUGCAUUCCUGGGUCCAAGUCCUAGGAAAAAUAAAGGAGAAACAGAAAUAAAAAGGACUAUAAGGAAAAAAAUUGAUAAGACUAUGUUUGAUGAUAUAUUUUUAGGUUUUUAUAAAACUGAAUGUCCUUCCUAAGAAUAUUAGCCUUGGUAAUAUUUACAUUCUUGCUUCACUGAUCAUGAACAAUGUUAAAUUUUUAUCACUUUAUUUCACACACACACACAUAAUUUAUAGAUGAGGAGAGUUCACAGAAAUCACACAUGUUCAUCUUAGGAAUCCAAUGGUGUUUGUAAUUUCCCUAGUCAUACAGCCAUGAAUAAAAUAGUUGAAAACAAUCCAUGUUCAGUACAGACAUUAAUUUCUCUCUCAAAAUGUGCAUUUCUCCUUAAAUAUAUUUUCUUUCUUUCUAUCUAUCUAUCUACCUAUCUAGUGUGUGUGUAUAUAUACAUAUACACACCAUAUACAUGGCGUGCAUGUGUGUGUUUGUAUGUAUACAUGCGCGUUAUGUAUGUGCAAGUCCAGGGAAAAUUAAUUACUUCUGACUCGUUCUAUUUUUCUAAUUUUUUAAUGUAAUAUUAAAUAAAAUAUUAAAGUAGGUAAAGUUAUAUUGGUAAAGAGGUAUCUAUUGCUAUCACUUCAGCUGCCUAGUAUUUUUAUUCACAUAAGGCACUAUAUUUGAGUCUUUCUCCUUUCCAUCUAAUUGUAUCUUGCUUUUUUCCUAUACACUCAUUGAAAUUACACUUUCUAUCAAUUCUCAUAGAAAUAUGGAACUUUACUUGUACAGAGAAAAUCACUCACCAUAUGUGAAGAUUAAAGGUAUGCAAGAAAUCUUAUAACUGGAAAGGGGAGUAAGAUAUUAAUAUACUGUAUCAACUGUAUAUCAACUGUAUCAGUUACAGUUUAUAUCUACUGAAGCUAGAGCAGACAUUACAAUGAGCCAAUAUUCUCCUUCGUGUGGAGCUCAGAUGCAGCUUCCUAAUCUUUUCCUACAGAGUGCUCCAAGCAGGCAUUACCAAUCUAAAUUGUCACAGUGACAGUCAUGAUUAGACUUGAAGCUAACAUCCAUUCAGCCUGUUGCAUGUAUAAGCUACUGUGCUAAGGAAACUAUAUUUUCCUAUUUACACUUUACCACAUUCCUUUUAGGGCCUGUGACUCUCAGGGCCUAACUCUUAAAUGUACCGUCAGUACCUACUGUUCCAUCUAAGAACAUUCAACUUGUGUACUUACUUCUUUGGCAUGGAUGCCAAUCUUAAUUUUUGAUACAUGGAAAUUUACCUUUCUAACUUCAAGGCUUGUCUCAGCAUUUUUUCCCCUAAAAUUUUAUUUGUGUUUACAGUAAGAGCCCAUCUCACAUUGGUAUACAUUGUAUUUUUUAAAAACCCCUUUGUCAUAAGAAUAUGAUUUUGAGAAAGAAAAUUAUGAUCCUUUGUUUAUUGAAUAUAAUGCAUUGUGCAUUUCUGAACAUAUGAGCAGCUUCAUGAAUUGAUUUUACUCUCCAUGUGCUACUUUGCAUAGCCAAGACACAAGGAAGUUUCCAUCUAGACAAGGAAGUUUUCAUUACUAGAUUCUACACUCCAUUAAGAGUGCCUAUUUUAAUUUCCACUGUAUAAUCAGCACCAAUUAUAAUUCCUGGCAUAUUGUGGCCACUCAAUACAGAUUUGUAUUUAUCAUUG
Molecule: long non-coding RNA, 3219 nt
Filed under: Marmota monax (woodchuck)
Lineage: Eukaryota; Metazoa; Chordata; Mammalia; Rodentia; Sciuridae
Source: RNAcentral